RNAcentral lists this transfer RNA (73 nucleotides) under Prasiolopsis wulf-kochii. RNAcentral's name for it is "tRNA-Arg". It matches the Rfam family "tRNA". From Rfam's summary of the family: Transfer RNA (tRNA) molecules are approximately 80 nucleotides in length. Their secondary structure includes four short double-helical elements and three loops (D, anti-codon, and T loops). Further hydrogen bonds mediate the characteristic L-shaped molecular structure. tRNAs have two regions of fundamental functional importance: the anti-codon, which is responsible for specific mRNA codon recognition, and the 3' end, to which the tRNAs corresponding amino acid is attached (by aminoacyl-tRNA synthetases). tRNAs cope with the degeneracy of the genetic code in two manners: having more than one tRNA (with a specific anti-codon) for a particular amino acid; and 'wobble' base-pairing, i.e. permitting non-standard base-pairing at the 3rd anti-codon position. Lineage: Eukaryota; Viridiplantae; Chlorophyta; Trebouxiophyceae; Prasiolales; Prasiolaceae. The record is from RNAcentral.
GGGCGUGUAGCUCAGUGGACAGAGCGUGUGGCUACGAACCACUGUGUCGGGGGUUCGAAUCCCUCCUCGCUCA